This 770-nucleotide ribosomal RNA is filed under the name Nakaseomyces glabratus. Its description in RNAcentral is "LSU rRNA". It matches the Rfam family "Eukaryotic large subunit ribosomal RNA", at positions 1 to 711 of the family's 3401-position model. The record is from RNAcentral. Lineage: Eukaryota; Fungi; Ascomycota; Saccharomycetes; Saccharomycetales; Saccharomycetaceae.
CGGUGUUGAUUUAGGGAGGGAUAUGUGAGUGUUCUGUGCGUGCUGGGCAGACAGACGUCUUUAAGUUUGACCUCAAAUCAGGUAGGGUUACCCGCUGAACUUAAGCAUAUCAAUAAGCGGAGGAAAAGAAACCAACUGGGAUUGCCUUAGUAACGGCGAGUGAAGCGGCAAAAGCUCAAAUUUGAAAUCUGGUACCUUUGGUGCCCGAGUUGUAAUUUGGAGAGUACCACUUUGGGACUGUACUUUGCCUAUGUUCCUUGGAACAGGACGUCAUGGAGGGUGAGAAUCCCGUGUGGCGAGGGUGUCAGUUCUUUGUAAAGGGUGCUCGAAGAGUCGAGUUGUUUGGGAAUGCAGCUCUAAGUGGGUGGUAAAUUCCAUCUAAAGCUAAAUACAGGCGAGAGACCGAUAGCGAACAAGUACAGUGAUGGAAAGAUGAAAAGAACUUUGAAAAGAGAGUGAAAAAGUACGUGAAAUUGUUGAAAGGGAAGGGCAUUUGAUCAGACAUGGUGUUUUGCGCCCCUUGCCUCUCGUGGGCUUGGGACUCUCGCAGCUCACUGGGCCAGCAUCGGUUUUGGCGGCCGGAAAAAACCUAGGGAAUGUGGCUCUGCGCCUCGGUGUAGAGUGUUAUAGCCCUGGGGAAUACGGCCAGCCGGGACCGAGGACUGCGAUACUUGUUAUCUAGGAUGCUGGCAUAAUGGUUAUAUGCCGCCCGUCUUGAAACACGGACCAAGGAGUCUAACGUCUAUGCGAGUGUUUGGGUGUUAACCCGU